This 481-nucleotide ribosomal RNA is filed under the name uncultured eukaryote. RNAcentral describes it as "SSU rRNA". It matches the Rfam family "Eukaryotic small subunit ribosomal RNA", at positions 459 to 966 of the family's 1831-position model. The record is from RNAcentral.
GGGAGGCAGUGACAAGAAAUAACAACCCAGAACAUUGUUUCCGGGAUUGCAAUGAGAACAAUUUAAAUCUCUUAGCGAGGAACAAUUGGAGGGCAAGUCUGGUGCCAGCAGCCGCGGUAAUUCCAGCUCCAAUAGCGUAUAUUAAAGUUGUUGCAGUUAAAAAGCUCGUAGUUGAAUUUCUGAUUAUGGAUGUAGCGGUUUCCGUUACAUUUGUAGUCAUCCACAUGAGAACCUUUCUCGGCCUUCACUGGUCGGUUGGGGGAUCAUGUACUUUACUUUGAAAAAAUACAGAGUGUUUCAGGCAGGCGUUUGCAUGAAUACACAAGCAUGGAAUAAUGGAAUAGGACUAGGGUCCAUUUUAUGGUUAUUGGACCAUAGUAAUGAUUAAUAGGGACAGUUGGGGGCAUUAGUAUUAAUUGUCAGAGGUGAAAUUCUUGGAUUUAUUAAAGACUAACUUAUGCGAAAGCAUUUGCCAAGGAUG